AUUCGCGAAUUACGCGUCAAUGCAUCUGCCGUGCAGGAAAGCGCGACGAAUAGUCAAUUGUAAAAUUGUUAUUGGUGGUCCAAGUCUAAAAUACGUCCUGCUACCGUAAUUUACCUCGGCCCAUACCCUUCGUCGCGACCCUCUCGCCGGGUAUAAGCGGUCGAACGACAUUAAAGCUCGUGCCAUUGUUCCGACGUGUAUUCACUCCGAACUUCAACCACGACCGAUGUCAGUUGGCACAGGGUUGGCUGGGAUAACCGACCAACCUAUCACGCGUCAAAAUAAACCUUGUUUCGCCGAACGCGCGGCAAGUCACGUGGAAAAAAUAUCGCGGACGAAUACAGACAGCGUGAAAAAAUACGGUGUCAGGAUAGUUCACGUCAUGCGAGCCACGGUUCUCCGAUAUUUACCGACGAACAAAUCAAGUGUGGACACGUUCGUUUUACCAAGAAAUUGGGCCAGAUAUGUUACGAGAUUCUGCGUGUUACGCUCUGUUUCUCGUUCGUACAUUUCGAGGGAUUCGCAUUUCGAUGAUUAUUAAUGUGUCGAGGAGUGUUAAAUAUAAAUUGCACGAAUAUUCCGACGUUGGAAAUAAGAAUAUCUAACACUCAUAUAUGCAGGUUACUACUAAAAGGAGCAUGGAGAUCGAAACGAAUUUAAGUGUGAGAAACAGAUGACCGAAUCUGUUACUGAAAAUGUUUCAAUCAACAAUAUUCUAUCGGUAUUCAAGGACGUAAUUUUACCGCAAUUACGGUCAACAUCCAGUAAAAUCGCGGAGCAGUUAAACACUCGACGGAUGCACGAACCAAAAACUACUACAAUGUCACCACCAAUUUUUAUGCAAUCCAACACUCUUUUGACAGCUAGUAACUCGGAACAACAAGCGACGAGUAAAGAAACGGACGUACAAGGGAAUAAGCAGUUUGAUCUACAAAUGGUAGAGAGGAACCUUAAGCAGCAACGGGGAUGCGCUACCGGUAGAGACGGACCC
This is a long non-coding RNA of Bombus huntii, 991 nucleotides long. RefSeq lists it as uncharacterized. The transcript is spliced from 4 exons. Lineage: Eukaryota; Metazoa; Arthropoda; Insecta; Hymenoptera; Apidae. The record is from RefSeq and is a predicted model, not a curated record.